CCGUGCUAAGUGGGGAGGUAGCGGUUCCCUUUUCCCGAAAUCCGCUCUAUGCGGGGCUGAAUUCCCACAGGAGGGGAUAUUUCGACGAAGGAAAGGGUCCUCUGGUAUGUUGAGGUCUGGACCCCGCGCAACGGCUGCUCUCGAACCCCGUCAGGUCCGGAAGGAAGCAGCGGUAAGAGGUGAUAUGCU
This 189-nucleotide signal recognition particle RNA is filed under the name bacterium. RNAcentral describes it as "partial signal recognition particle sRNA large type". It matches the Rfam family "Bacterial large signal recognition particle RNA", at positions 1 to 185 of the family's 256-position model. From Rfam's summary of the family: The signal recognition particle (SRP) is a universally conserved ribonucleoprotein involved in the co-translational targeting of proteins to membranes. Archaeal SRP consists of a 7S RNA and homologues of the eukaryotic SRP19 and SRP54 proteins. In most bacteria, the SRP consists of a 4.5S RNA and the Ffh protein (a homologue of the eukaryotic SRP54 protein). The record is from RNAcentral.